This 323-nucleotide unclassified non-coding RNA is filed under the name soil metagenome. RNAcentral describes it as "partial contains 5.8S ribosomal RNA, internal transcribed spacer 2, and large subunit ribosomal RNA". The stretch from base 1 to 119 matches the Rfam family "5.8S ribosomal RNA", at positions 35 to 154 of the family's 154-position model. The record is from RNAcentral.
GAUGAAAACGUAGCGAAAUGCGAUAAGUAAUGUGAAUUGCAGAAUUCAGUGAAUCAUCGAAUCUUUGAACGCACAUUGCGCCCCCUGGUAUUCCGCAGGGCAUGCCUGUUCGAGCGUCAUUUCAACCCUCAAGCCCCGCUUGGUGUUGGGCCCCGCCCGCUGUGGCCGGCCCUAAAGACAGUGGCGGCGCCGCCUGGCCCUCAGCGUAGUACAUCUCUCGCUCCAGGGUCCGGUGGCCGCCUGCCAGAACCCCCCAACUCUGUGGUUGACCUCGGAUCAGGUAGGGAUACCCGCUGAACUUAAGCAUAUCAAUAAGCGGAGGA